Amphimedon queenslandica is the source of this 385-nucleotide long non-coding RNA. RefSeq lists it as uncharacterized. The record is from RefSeq and is a predicted model, not a curated record. The transcript has 2 exons. Lineage: Eukaryota; Metazoa; Porifera; Demospongiae; Haplosclerida; Niphatidae.
GUUGCGAGAACAAUACAGCUGCAGGCUACAGACGUCCUACUGAACAAGAGAAAGUUUGGUUUAAAGACACCAAUCAGCAAAAAAAUCCACCAGUUGAUCCAACAGAUGUUUUCCAGUCACAUUUUGCUAAAUUAUGUGAUAUUAUCAGUUCUGAUGUAGUGAAAGUUUGCAAUGAGUGUAAUUCAUGUCAACUGAUUGGGCAUGAAACUCGUUCUUUUGUCAUAACAGCCAAAGGAGCAUCAGAUCAUGACAAGGCGACGAGACUUCUUUAUGAUAUUGAAUUACAACUAAAGUCCUGUAUCAACAAGCAAGAAUAUUUGUCUAAUGUUAUUGAAGCUUUUUUGCGUGUUAAUAAUUCUAAUCUUAGUAUAGUUGCUGAAGAAUU